CCUACGGGGGGCAGCAGUGAGGAAUAUUGGUCAAUGGACGAGAGUCUGAACCAGCCAAGUAGCGUGAAGGAUGACUGCCCUAUGGGUUGUAAACUUCUUUUAUAUGGGAAUAAAACGUUCCACGUGUGGGAUUUUGUAUGUACCAUAUGAAUAAGGAUCGGCUAACUCCGUGCCAGCAGCCGCGGUAAUACGGAGGAUCCGAGCGUUAUCCGGAUUUAUUGGGUUUAAAGGGAGCGUAGGUGGAUUGUUAAGUCAGUUGUGAAAGUUUGCGGCUCAACCGUAAAAUUGCAGUUGAAACUGGCAGUCUUGAGUACAGUAGAGGUGGGCGGGAUUCGUGGUGUAGCGGUGAAAUGCUUAGAUAUCACGAAGAACUCCGAUUGCGAAGGCAGUUCACUGGACUGCAACUGACACUGAGGCUCGAAAGUGUGGGUAUCAAACAGGAUUAGAUACCCGUGUAGUC
RNAcentral lists this ribosomal RNA (460 nucleotides) under uncultured bacterium. Its description in RNAcentral is "partial 16S ribosomal RNA". It matches the Rfam family "Bacterial small subunit ribosomal RNA", at positions 338 to 795 of the family's 1533-position model. The record is from RNAcentral.